UUCCAGUGAACUAACUUUGUUACGACUUACCUCCUCUUUGGAAGAGGGUGACGGGCGAUAUGUACACCUAAAUUCAAAUUCGUUCUUAAUUUUUAUUAAAAAACUACUUCCAAAUCCUCUUUUAUUUUCUCUUUAGAGAAAACUCCUUUAAUAAGUUUAAUGGGUAAUUAGCUCCUUCUUCGUUUAUGAUCUUCACCUUGCCCUGACUUAUUAAAAAUGUUUUGGUAGAAGGUUGAAAUUCUGCCUUUAGACGGCGGUAUAAAAGAGAGAAGCGGAGAGAA
RNAcentral lists this ribosomal RNA (281 nucleotides) under Aptostichus atomarius. RNAcentral describes it as "partial 12S ribosomal RNA". The record is from RNAcentral. Lineage: Eukaryota; Metazoa; Arthropoda; Arachnida; Araneae; Euctenizidae.